RNAcentral lists this transfer RNA (17 nucleotides) under Cephalophus dorsalis (bay duiker). Its description in RNAcentral is "partial tRNA-Phe". The record is from RNAcentral. Lineage: Eukaryota; Metazoa; Chordata; Mammalia; Artiodactyla; Bovidae.
GUUAAUGUAGCUUAAAA